CCUACGGGCGGCAGCAGUGGGGAAUAUUGGACAAUGGGGGGAACCCUGAUCCAGCCAUGCCGCGUGUGUGAAGAAGGCCCUCGGGUUGUAAAGCACUUUCAGUGAGGAAGAACGCCUGGUGGUUAAUACCCAUCAGGAAAGACAUCACUCACAGAAGAAGCACCGGCUAACUCCGUGCCAGCAGCCGCGGUAAUACGGAGGGUGCGAGCGUUAAUCGGAAUUACUGGGCGUAAAGCGCGCGUAGGUGGCUUGAUAAGCCGGUUGUGAAAGCCCCGGACUCAACCUGGGAACGGCAUCCGGAACUGUCAAGCUAGAGUGCAGGAGAGGAAGGUAGAAUUCCCGGUGUAGCGGUGAAAUGCGUAGAGAUCGGGAGGAAUACCAGUGGCGAAGGCGGCCUUCUGGACUGACACUGACACUGAGGUGCGAAAGCGUGGGUAGCAAACAGGAUUAGAUACCCGAGUAGUC
This 465-nucleotide ribosomal RNA is filed under the name Vreelandella stevensii. Its description in RNAcentral is "partial 16S ribosomal RNA". It matches the Rfam family "Bacterial small subunit ribosomal RNA", at positions 338 to 795 of the family's 1533-position model. The record is from RNAcentral. Lineage: Bacteria; Pseudomonadati; Pseudomonadota; Gammaproteobacteria; Oceanospirillales; Halomonadaceae.